GCGUCGGUGGUGUAACGGUCUAGCUUAUGCUCCUGGAAAGAGUAAGAUCCGGGUUCAAAUCCCGGCUGAGGCA
Parelaphostrongylus tenuis is the source of this 73-nucleotide non-coding RNA. The record is from the annotation of a GenBank genome assembly. NCBI's taxonomy places the organism in Eukaryota, Metazoa, Nematoda, Chromadorea, Rhabditida, Metastrongylidae.